RNAcentral lists this ribosomal RNA (460 nucleotides) under uncultured bacterium. RNAcentral describes it as "partial 16S ribosomal RNA". It matches the Rfam family "Bacterial small subunit ribosomal RNA", at positions 338 to 795 of the family's 1533-position model. The record is from RNAcentral.
CCUACGGGUGGCAGCAGUGAGGAAUAUUGGUCAAUGGACGAGAGUCUGAACCAGCCAAGUAGCGUGAAGGAUGACUGCCCUAUGGGUUGUAAACUUCUUUUAUAUGGGAAUAAAAUGUUCCACGUGUGGGAUUUUGUAUGUACCAUAUGAAUAAGGAUCGGCUAACUCCGUGCCAGCAGCCGCGGUAAUACGGAGGAUCCGAGCGUUAUCCGGAUUUAUUGGGUUUAAAGGGAGCGUAGGUGGAUUGUUAAGUCAGUUGUGAAAGUUUGCGGCUCAACCGUAAAAUUGCAGUUGAAACUGGCAGUCUUGAGUACAGUAGAGGUGAGCGGGAUUCGUGGUGUAGCGGUGAAAUGCGUAGAUAUCACGAAGAACUCCGAUUGCGAAGGCAGUUCACUGGACUGCAACUGACACUGAGGCUCGAAAGUGUGGGUAUCAAACAGGAUUAGAUACCCCAGUAGUC